GACGAACCGAGCGAACGUUGUUCGGAAUCACUGGGCUUAAAGGGCGCGUAGGCGGGUGGUCAAGUCUGUGGUGAAAUCCUCCGGCUCAACCGGAGAACUGCCAUGGAUACUGGGUGUCUCGAGGGUGGUAGGGGUAUGCGGAACUAUCGGUGGAGCGGUGAAAUGCGUUGAUAUCGAUAGGAACUCCGGUGGCGAAGGCGGCAUACUGGACCACUUCUGACGCUGAGGCGCGAAAGCCAGGGGAGCAAACGGG
This 253-nucleotide ribosomal RNA is filed under the name uncultured bacterium. Its description in RNAcentral is "partial 16S ribosomal RNA". It matches the Rfam family "Bacterial small subunit ribosomal RNA", at positions 524 to 776 of the family's 1533-position model. The record is from RNAcentral.